This 465-nucleotide ribosomal RNA is filed under the name uncultured bacterium. RNAcentral describes it as "partial 16S ribosomal RNA". It matches the Rfam family "Bacterial small subunit ribosomal RNA", at positions 338 to 795 of the family's 1533-position model. The record is from RNAcentral.
CCUACGGGAGGCUGCAGUGGGGAAUUUUGGACAAUGGGCGCAAGCCUGAUCCAGCUAUUCCGCGUGUGGGAAGACGGCCUUCGGGUUGUAAACCACUUUUGUAGAGAACGAAAAGUCUGUUGAUAAUACCGAUAGAUGAUGACGGUACUCUAAGAAUAAGCACCGGCUAACUACGUGCCAGCAGCCGCGGUAAUACGUAGGGUGCGAGCGUUAAUCGGAAUUACUGGGCGUAAGGGGUGUGCAGGCGGUUUUGCAAGAUGGAUGUGAAAGCCCCGGGCUUAACCUGGGAAAGCCAUACAUGACUGCAAGACUAGAGUGCGUCAGAGGGGGGUGGAAUUCCAAGUGUAGCAGUGAAAUGCGUAGAUAUUUGGAAGAACACCGAUGGCGAAGGCAGCCCCCUGGGACGCAACUGACGCUCAUACACGAAAGCGUGGGGAGCAAACAGGAUUAGAUACCCCUGUAGUC